Telopea speciosissima is the source of this 86-nucleotide long non-coding RNA. RefSeq lists it as uncharacterized. The record is from RefSeq and is a predicted model, not a curated record. Lineage: Eukaryota; Viridiplantae; Streptophyta; Magnoliopsida; Proteales; Proteaceae. The transcript has 3 exons.
AACCAUGUGCAAUUUACAGGCAAAAUGACAUCAUAGGGAGUAAAUCAAGUACAAAAAUCAUAUAAGUUGCAUUCUCUAAAUUGUCU